CUUCAAUUCUGGUUGAUCCUGCCAGAGGUUACUGCUAUCGGAGUUCGAUUAAGCCAUGCGAGUCUAAAGGUUUCUUCGGAAACCUUGGCGGACUGCUCAGUAACAUGUGGAUAACCUACCCUUAGGACUGGGAUAACCCCGGGAAACUGGGGAUAAUACCGGAUAGAUCAAGGAUUGCUGGAAUGCGCCUUGAUCCAAAGCUCCGGCGCCUAAGGAUGGGUCUGCGGCCUAUCAGGUUGUAGUGGGUGUAACGU
RNAcentral lists this ribosomal RNA (254 nucleotides) under Methanosarcinales archaeon. RNAcentral's name for it is "partial 16S ribosomal RNA". It matches the Rfam family "Archaeal small subunit ribosomal RNA", at positions 1 to 247 of the family's 1478-position model. Lineage: Archaea; Methanobacteriati; Methanobacteriota; Methanomicrobia; Methanosarcinales. The record is from RNAcentral.